UCAGCGGCGGACGAGGUGAGUAACACGUGUGGUAACCUGUCCUGUAAGACUGGGAUAACUCCGGGAAACCGGGGCUAAUACCGGAUGCUUGAUUGAACCGCAUGGUUCAAUCAUAAAAGGCGGCUUCGGCUGCCGUUUACAGAUGGACCCGCGGCGCAUUAGCUAGUUGGUGAGGUAACGGCUCACCAAGGCGACGAUGCGUAGCCGACCUGAGAGGGUGAUCGGCCACACUGGGACUGAGACACGGCCCAGACUCCUACGGGAGGCAGCAGUAGGGAAUCUUCCGCAAUGGACGAGAGUCUGACGGAGCAACGCCGCGUGAGUGAUGA
RNAcentral lists this ribosomal RNA (329 nucleotides) under Bacillus sp. CSu2_16. RNAcentral's name for it is "bacterial SSU rRNA". It matches the Rfam family "Bacterial small subunit ribosomal RNA", at positions 92 to 411 of the family's 1533-position model. The record is from RNAcentral. Lineage: Bacteria; Bacillati; Bacillota; Bacilli; Caryophanales; Bacillaceae.